Molecule: ribosomal RNA, 914 nt
Filed under: uncultured marine group I thaumarchaeote
Lineage: Archaea; Thermoproteati; Nitrososphaerota
Description: bacterial SSU rRNA
Rfam family: Archaeal small subunit ribosomal RNA
Source: RNAcentral
UUCCGGUUGAUCCUGCCAGACCUGACUGCUAUCGGAUUGAUACUAAGCCAUGCGAGUCAUUGUAGCAAUACAAGGCAUACGGCUCAGUAACGCGUAGUCAACCUAACCUAUGGACGGGAAUAACCUCGGGAAACUGAGAAUAAUGCCCGAUAGAACAUUAUACCUGGAAUGGUUUAUGUUCCAAAUGAUUUAUCGCCGUAGGAUGGGACUGCGGCCUAUCAGUUUGUUGGUGAGGUAAUGGCCCACCAAGACUAUUACAGGUACGGGCUCUGAGAGGAGUAGCCCGGAGAUGGGUACUGAGACACGGACCCAGGCCCUAUGGGGCGCAGCAGGCGAGAAAACUUUGCAAUGUGCGAAAGCACGACAAGGUUAAUCCGAGUGAUUUCUGCUAAAGAAAUCUUUUGUUAGUCCUAGAAACACUAACGAAUAAGGGGUGGGCAAGUUCUGGUGUCAGCCGCCGCGGUAAAACCAGCACCUCAAGUGGUCAGGAUGAUUAUUGGGCCUAAAGCAUCCGUAGCCGGCUCUGUAAGUUUUCGGUUAAAUCUGUACGCUCAACGUACAGGCUGCCGGGAAUACUGCAUAGCUAGGGAGUGGGAGAAGUAGACGGUACUCGGUAGGAAGUGGUAAAAUGCUUUGAUCUAUCGAUGACCACCUGUGGCGAAGGCGGUCUACUAGAACACGUCCGACGGUGAGGGAUGAAAGCUGGGGGAGCAAACCGGAUUAGGUACCCGGGUAGUCCCAGCUGUAAACUAUGCAAACUCAGUGAUGCAUUGGCUUGUGGCCAAUGCAGUGCUGCAGGGAAGCCGUUAAGUUUGCCGCCUGGGAAGUACGUACGCAAGUAUGAAACUUAAAGGAAUUGGCGGGGGAGCACCACAAGGGGUGAAGCCUGCGGUUCAAUUGGAUUCAACGCCGGG